RNAcentral lists this ribosomal RNA (253 nucleotides) under uncultured bacterium. Its description in RNAcentral is "partial 16S ribosomal RNA". It matches the Rfam family "Bacterial small subunit ribosomal RNA", at positions 524 to 776 of the family's 1533-position model. The record is from RNAcentral.
UACGGAGGGUGCAAGCGUUAAUCGGAAUUACUGGGCGUAAAGCGCGCGUAGGCGGCUUCUUAAGCUAGAUGUGAAAUCCCCGGGCUUAACCUGGGAACUGCAUUUAGAACUGAGUUGCUAGAGUAUGGGAGAGGGGUGUGGAAUUUCCGGUGUAGCGGUGAAAUGCGUAGAGAUCGGAAGGAACAUCAGUGGCGAAGGCGACACUCUGGCCCAAUACUGACGCUGAGGUGCGAAAGCGUGGGGAUCAAACAGG